UAGUAGGGUGCCCAAUCAACAAAUUUUAUCGAUUUGCCUUAACGGAAUAACAUACGGCUAUAUUUUAUAUCAUUGGAAAGAGGAGAACAAUCCUCAUCGAAAUAGCGUUGUCGUCGCUGUCUACCGUGGUCACGAUUUUUUUAAAUCAGGGUCAAAGGUCAAAGCAAAAUUUCAAGGAAAAUGCACAGUCACAUUUAGAUAGCUUGAUUCUCCUAGAUCUAUGCGUUUGGA
This 231-nucleotide long non-coding RNA is filed under the name Mytilus galloprovincialis (Mediterranean mussel). Lineage: Eukaryota; Metazoa; Mollusca; Bivalvia; Mytilida; Mytilidae. The record is from RNAcentral.